This 465-nucleotide ribosomal RNA is filed under the name uncultured bacterium. Its description in RNAcentral is "partial 16S ribosomal RNA". It matches the Rfam family "Bacterial small subunit ribosomal RNA", at positions 28 to 507 of the family's 1533-position model. The record is from RNAcentral.
GACGAACGCUGGCGGCGUGCUUAACACAUGCAAGUCGAACGGAAAGGCCCUGCUUGCAGGGUACUCGAGUGGCGAACGGGUGAGUAACACGUGGGUGAUCUGCCCUGCACUUCGGGAUAAGCCUGGGAAACUGGGUCUAAUACCGGAUAGGAGCCAUUUUUAGUGUGAUGGUUGGAAAGUUUUUUCGGUGUAGGAUGAGCUCGCGGCCUAUCAGCUUGUUGGUGGGGUAAUGGCCUACCAAGGCGGCGACGGGUAGCCGGCCUGAGAGGGUGGACGGCCACAUUGGGACUGAGAGACGGCCCAGACUCCUACGGGAGGCAGCAGUGGGGAAUAUUGCACAAUGGGCGCAAGCCUGAUGCAGCGAGGCCGCGUGGGGGAUGACGGCCUUCGGGUUGUAAACUCCUUUCGCUAGGGACGAAGCUUUUUGUGACGGUACCUAGAGAAGAAGCACCGGCUAACUACGUG